GAAGAACGAAGAAGGAAGAAGAAGAAAAGACAGAAGAAGAGAAAAAGAAAAAAAAAAAGAAGAGAAGAAGAAGAAGAAGAAGAAGAACGAAGCAAUAAACCAAACUAUUCUAGAAAACACAGUUGUAUUACAUAGUAUAACAGAUAUACAUGCAAUAAGUAUUUUAAAAUAAUUAUAAUACUACUUUACAAGAAAAGCGACAAAGUGUUACGAUAUAAAAAAACAAAAACAAAAAAACAAUCUACUGGAAACGACAAUUUUGCAAAGAGUGAGAGGACAUCAUUUUGAGGGUGUAGAGAACAUCAAAAUAUCUUUGGAACGGUGUUAAAAAUUGAAUUUGAAGCCGCACGCUAACGACGAUAUUUAAUUGCAAAAUAAUAGCAAGAAGAAGAAGAAGAAGAAGACAAUUAGCAACAACAGUCUUCAACAAAAACAGUAGCAGCAACAACAGCACCAACAAAAGAUAUAAAAAGAAGAAAAACACAGAAAGCGGACGCAACCUUACUUCCCAAGAAAAGAGAGAGAGAGAGAGAGAGAGAGAGAACCGCAAGUGACAGACGGGCUACAAGGGAAGCAACAACAACAACAACAAUAACAGCAACAACUGCAAUUGAAAAUACUCCAGAAGCAGCUGUAGCCGCAACAACAGCAACAGCAGUAGAAGCAACAGGAACAAUAGUUAAAGGGAUUUUUCAAAUAAUAAAGUGUUGAAAAAUCAAAAAUGUGUCGACAAGGAGUAUUCUUCAUUGUAGCCAUGUGUUUUGUGGUAUUUGUACAGUCUUUUGACGUGAAGACAUUCUGUAAGACUCGUUGUGCCGUUGGUAGAGGGGGCAAUUUAUGUCGUUGCAAUGCAUUCCACUUCGCUGGCAAAAGAUCGGACGGGCAAUACAAGCGACAAGAAUUCGGCACCAUUAACACAGACGAUAAUUACAAUCCGUUUCAAAGUUAUUUUGAAAACCUAUCCGGGUCUUUGCCUAUACAAAGACAGAGUGCACAGCAAAACGAUUACGAUGACAACGACGCGACUACAGGAAACCAGAUGUUAUAUCCAGUGAGGGAUGAGGCCCUCUUCAGAAGGGCCAUCUCAGAACAGAUGAACUCCAAUGAUCAACUUCUACCAGGUGAUAUCCGCAUCCCCAACAGCAACACAAGAAGUCAGAAGGAAGGCAGCCGUCUUCAGAACUUAUUGCAGAAACAGUAUAAAAGAUAUAAGAACGACAGCAACAACAACAACAACAACCUAUCUGGAGUACUGCCGAUCGACGUCAAUGACUUCAAUGAUAGAUCAGCUCGUUUAAGAAACACUUUACAUCACACUGACAAAUAUCUAAUAGAUAUUUUUAGAAGAG
RNAcentral lists this unclassified non-coding RNA (1349 nucleotides) under Octopus sinensis (East Asian common octopus). RNAcentral describes it as "uncharacterized LOC118761014, transcript variant X1". Lineage: Eukaryota; Metazoa; Mollusca; Cephalopoda; Octopoda; Octopodidae. The record is from RNAcentral.